UCUUUUAUAUCUAGCAUGUGAAAAACGGAGGGAGUACAAAUAAUAAGGCUCAAGAACAACUGAACCACCAAUGGUUCUUAAUCAAGGUCAGUACUGCACCUCCCAAAUCCCGACUAUGUCCUGUGUCCUCAGUUGAAUACACAACUCAAAUCAGAUUUGCCGCACAGGUCUUCAAUCCUUGGCUAGCACCGAUUUCUUUUCUUAGAUGUUCUUCCAUUAUAUGUUGACUUCCAGCUCUUUAACCUUUUUAAAUGAGAAAAAAUAGAUUGACAAAAAAGGAAGCAACAAGGAAUGAAACAAAAUAGUGGCUGGACACAAUUAUUGACGAAGUUGAUUUGAUCAAAUGGCAAAUAUGCAAAUAGAGCAGUUACCUUCUGCUUACUUGAAGCACACCCUGCAUAUACAACAGAAAACUGAUUUUUGCAACAAUUUUGUUUUAAUGUUUUCCAAAUAGCAUAUGAAUCAAGCAUAUCGAUUAUGUGACAAUACCUGAAAUCAAACUUUCCAUUAAUAAGCUUCACUACGUUUAAUGACGAAAACCAAACUUCAGAUGUAGAAUCGGUGAGCUUUCAGGACAGUGGGAGCUUACCGUGUUAGGGGAUGGGGAUUUUGUCGAACAUCUUUC
RNAcentral lists this long non-coding RNA (625 nucleotides) under Setaria italica (foxtail millet). RNAcentral describes it as "long non-coding RNA (SITA_LNC004740)". Lineage: Eukaryota; Viridiplantae; Streptophyta; Magnoliopsida; Poales; Poaceae. The record is from RNAcentral.